GGGCCGUUAGCUCAGUUGGUAGAGCAGGUGACUCUUAAUCACAAGGUCAUAGGUUCAAAUCCUAUACGGCCCACCA
This 76-nucleotide transfer RNA is filed under the name bacterium. Its description in RNAcentral is "tRNA-Lys". It matches the Rfam family "tRNA". Rfam says of the family: Transfer RNA (tRNA) molecules are approximately 80 nucleotides in length. Their secondary structure includes four short double-helical elements and three loops (D, anti-codon, and T loops). The record is from RNAcentral.